UAUUGGACAAUGGGGGAAACCCUGAUCCAGCAAUGCCGCGUGUGUGAUGAAGGCCUUCGCCCUUGUAAGGCACUUUUGUCAGGGACGAUGAUGACGGUACCUGACGAAUAAGCUCCGGCUAACUUCGUGCCAGCAGCCGCGGUAAUACGAGGGGAGCUAGCGUUGUUCGGAACUACUGGGCGUAAAGGGCGUGUAGGCGGUACCAUAAGUCAGAUGUGAAAGCCCUAGGCUUAACCUAGGAGGUGCAUUUGAUACUGUGGAACUAGAGAUCGAGAGAGGUAAGUGGAAUUACGAGUGUAGAGGUGAAAUUCGUAGAUAUUCGUAAGAACACCAGUGGCGAAGGCGACUUACGGCUCGAUACUGACGCUAAGGCGCGAAA
Molecule: ribosomal RNA, 379 nt
Filed under: uncultured bacterium
Lineage: Bacteria
Description: bacterial SSU rRNA
Rfam family: Bacterial small subunit ribosomal RNA
Source: RNAcentral